GUGGGGAAUAUUCCGCAAUGGACGAAAGUCUGGCGGAGCAACGCCGCGUGAGUGAUGAAGGUUUUCGGACUGUAAAGCUCUGUUGUUUAGGACGAAAGUGCCUGUUGCAAAUAGUUACAGGUAUUGACGGUACUGAACGAGGAAGCCACGGCUAACUACGUGCCAGCAGCCGCGGUAAUACGUAGGUGGCAAGCGUUGUCCGGAAUUAUUGGGCGUAAAGAGCAUGUAGGCGGGAAUCUAAGUCUGUUGUGAAAAUGCGGGGCUCAACCCCGUAUUGCGAUGGAAACUGGGUUUCUUGAGUGCAGGAGAGGAAAGGGGAAUUCCCAGUGUAGCGGUGAAAUGCGUAGAUAUUGGGAGGAACACCAGUGGCGAAGGCGCCUUUCUGGACUGUGUCUGACGCUGAGAUGCGAAAGCCAGGGUAGCGAACGGGAUUAGAUACCCGAGUAGUCC
Molecule: ribosomal RNA, 450 nt
Filed under: uncultured bacterium
Lineage: Bacteria
Description: partial 16S ribosomal RNA
Rfam family: Bacterial small subunit ribosomal RNA
Source: RNAcentral